RNAcentral lists this long non-coding RNA (451 nucleotides) under Dunaliella salina. RNAcentral describes it as "long non-coding RNA (DSAL_LNC000449)". Lineage: Eukaryota; Viridiplantae; Chlorophyta; Chlorophyceae; Chlamydomonadales; Dunaliellaceae. The record is from RNAcentral.
AACAAACGUGCUGCUCGAUUCAAUAACCAACCUGGGCCUGCUCCCUGCCCUCUUUGUGGUGCACCUGAUAGCCUCUCCCACACUCUGCUCAGAUGCACUCACCCACAAAUUAGUAGGAUGCAUAUAAAUCGUCAUCAUCAAGCCCUCAGCAUCUGUGGUGAAGCACUCAGCAAAGGUGACUUUGGACCCUUCAUUGUCUCAAUGGACGCUUGCAACCCAGAUAGGCUAACCUCCCUGGAUAUAGAAAUCCCAAAUGAUGUUCAAAGAAACAUUCCAAAUUGGGUCUUCCCCUCCAGACAACCACCAAACACACAACUUAGUCGCCCUGAUGGCAUCAUAGUACUACCCCUGCAAGGCAGAAACUCCACCCAACACCUUAAGAACAUGAACCCCAGAGACAAAGACAUUCACCUCCUUGAGCUGAAAUUCUGCUCAGACACCAAUCCUGAAC